Molecule: small RNA, 2089 nt
Filed under: Pan troglodytes (chimpanzee)
Lineage: Eukaryota; Metazoa; Chordata; Mammalia; Primates; Hominidae
Description: retained intron
Source: RNAcentral
AAAUGCUAAAGAAAAAUCGCCGUUAAAGCAGUUUUCUUUUUCACUGUCUUUUUCUUUUCGCGGGGAACCGAGCUGUUCCUGCGAGGGCCACCUCCUCAGGAAAACCCCGCAGCUCUCCCGAGGCGCUUCUGCAGGAGGCAGCGACAGUUUUGAGAACCCGGGCCUUCCCCUCCCAGUGCCUCCGGGGGUUCCGGCGUUUCAGGCGCAGCUGUUUUCCGGGAAGGGCAGGCGCGCUGGGCCUUGGGGAGCUGCGCUCGGCGGGCGGACGCGGGGAAUCAUGGAAGCUGAUAAAGACGACACACAACAAAUUCUUAAGGAGCAUUCGCCAGAUGAAUUUAUAAAAGAUGAACAAAAUAAGAUUAAAGAGGAUAUUCCUGAAACAAAGAUGAAAUUCUUAUCAGUUGAAACUCCUGAGAAUGACAGCCAGUUGUCAAAUAUCUCCUGUUCGUUUCAAGUGAGCUCGAAAGUUCCUUAUGAGAUACAAAAAGGACAAGCACUUAUCACCUUUGAAAAAGAAGAAGGUAUGACUAAUGUUAAAAAAUAUGACCAUGUUAUUUGGAAAGCACUUUCAUAGACAUUUAGCUAUUACUUCGCUAAUAUUACUUCACUUAUUUCUUAUCCUCAUAGUGACGUUCUGAGGCAGGUAUGAUUAUUCCCAUUUUACAGAUGAGAAAACUGACUCUGAGACAAGUGCCUUGAAUAUGAUCUCGUAUUCAGAAAGCCAUGACUGUGGGACUUAAAUCCAGGUGCUAUGAUGAUGUCCAAUACCAGCCUCUUUCUACUCCACAUGCUACCUCCAAAUAAUGAUAGUAAUAUUUCAAGGUAGUAGAGCUGUACAGUUCUCAGAGACAUUAUCACAUUUUAUACUCACACAAUUCCAUAAAUAUAGGAGGAUAGGAUAGUUAUUAUUGUGUACUUUAAAUAUAGACAUGCCAGAGCCAAGAAAACAGAUUCUGAGGAUGUUUAAGUGAUUUACCUAAGGGCACAUAGCUCACAAAUGAGAAGAGCCUGGGAGUUAGAGAUUUGGAAUGAAACCUAAUGUUUGCUAAGUCUGCCAUGGUGAGGGCCCCUGUUCAGAGCUGGAGGUUCCUGAGUGGGGAGGAUCUGGCUUUGAGUGCCAGCCUUGUCCCUUCCUAGAAGCAUGAUUUGGGAUAGGUUCUUUAUAACCUCAGGGUUUUAUACAGGUGCUUCAUGGUAGUACCUACUUCAUGAGGCUGCUUUGAGUAUUAAAUGAGAAAUGUUGAUAAAAUACUUAGCACAAUGUUGGACACUUAAUACAAACUUAAUGGAUGUUAGUUUUUGCUACAUGUUAGGAAUUUUUCAGAUAAGGAUACAGAAGCUUGAAGAAGAUAAUUAACUUGCUUAAAGUCUAUACGGUUAGUUGCAGAGCUUAGAGCCAAACCCUGAGAGUCUAUGUACUUCCACUGGGCCAAUAUUUCUCUCGGUAGGCCACCAGCCCAGGCCUUUGUUCUUUUAUUUAAGUUACGUGGUGAGGGACCAGAUGGUGUUCCCAGCCCUUCCAGUGCUCAUAUUCUGACAGUCUACAACCCAUGUUUCCUCAAAACUGGUGCACCACUGUAGCCUGAAAAUAAAUGUUGAAAGGCAUUCCAGCAGGACAGUAUCUGCGCGUAGAAGACAUGCAUCGCCAGUGUGUUUUCCUUCACCCUGGAGCUACUGCUACAGGUAGAAGAGGAGUCCAGGACUCAUAUUGGCGACUGGUAAUCGGGAUAUAACUAAAAGAUAGAUAUAAAUGAGGAUUUGGGAGGCAGGGUUUCUGCACAGCAAUUUCCUGGGAAUGUUGGAAAUGGAAUUCUCUAAAAGCACCUACAUCAUUGCUUCUACGCUUGACGUGGCUCUGAGCUCCCGAUCUCCUGGGACAGCAGUAGGUUUGAAACACAAUUAAGUAGGAGUUGGCUCUUGAUUGUCAGAGUCACAAAAGUUGAAACACAAGCGGUCCCUCUCAGCUGUAUCAGAUCACCAGAUGUUGGGGGUUUGUGGAAGAGUGGGAGGGAAAGAGGAUCAUCUGAGUAUUACUCAUUGAUAUUUUCUGUUAUUGUCUGUUGUCAUUAGCAAAAAAACACAAAAACAC